Herpailurus yagouaroundi (jaguarundi) is the source of this 1532-nucleotide long non-coding RNA. RefSeq lists it as uncharacterized. The transcript is spliced from 2 exons. NCBI's taxonomy places the organism in Eukaryota, Metazoa, Chordata, Mammalia, Carnivora, Felidae. The record is from RefSeq and is a predicted model, not a curated record.
CCACCCACCCCUGCAUCCCUGCAUCCGUCUGUCCGUCGGGCAGUGUGGCUCCGUCCGCGGCCCCUGGGGCCGACGCCGGGUCUGAUCCCACUGAACAAACACCUCCAGGCUCCACGGGGUCAGGGCCAGAGACCCGGAGGGUGGGCUGCGCCCCCCUGAACUCGGAGAGCCCCGCUCUGGACCCGGGAAGCCACCGGUCUCGGGGGCGGGGACACUGGAGGUCUCAGGGAGGAGUCGUGAGGGAGAGGAAGACCGAGUCGCGUCCCGGCCUGCACCCCCCACACCUGCCACGACUCUCCGAUCUUCCCCACUUAGCGUCCUGCCCCUUACGGACAGACAGACGGAAGACGGGCGUGUGAGUGGACGGACAGACGACUUGGAAGGAUGGCUGCGGAUGGAAAGGCAAGAGGGAAGCCAGGCCGGCGGAUGGGAAGAUGGACAGAGAGAGGGCUGCUCCCUGGCCGGCCGCUGACGGGACAGAUAGGGAAAUGACGCGCAGGUGCGCCGAUGGUCAGAGAAAUGCACGAGCACACGGCCAGACGCACGGAAGGGGGAUGCGGCAGGUAGGACAGAGCCCCCCAGAGAUGUCCAGGGGCUCAUCCCUGGAACCUGUGACUGCCACCUUCCGUGGUCAAAGGGACAUUGAAGAAGUGGAUAAGUGAAGCCAGAGAGGGGGAGAUUACCGGGGUCCUGUGGCUGCCCCCCCUGCGCACCCCCCCCCCGCGAUGCCAUCACAGGCGUCGGGGCGGGGGAGCGAAGCCGGCAGCCCACCACGUCGGGGGAGCGCUCUUGCGACCCUGAGCCGGGCAGCUGACCUCCAGCUGAGGAUGCCAGAGGCUUCUAGAAGCUGGAAAAAGCAAGGAAACCGAUUCUCCCCCAGAACCUCCACGAGGAACCCUGGUCACGCCUUGAGUUUAGCCCGUGAGACCCAUCUCUGACCCACAGGGCCGUAAGACGGUACGUUGUGCUGUUUGAAGCCACUAAGUCCACGGUGAUUUAGUACGACGGCGAUAGGACACAGCACAGAUGGGCGGAGGGACGUGGGACGGACAGACGUCCAACCAGGGCCUCUGCACCUGGGAAGGCGUCCUGGCGGGUGGGGACGUCAGAGACCCCCGGCAGCCGAGCCAACACCACAGGCCCUGCGAGCCUCCUUCCGCCCACCUCGACGCAGCACACGGUUCGCGCACGCCUGCAUGCACGCGCUUACCCACACCACGCGGACGAGGGGCUCCACCCGGCUCGGCCGGCCUCGAACUGCCGACCUCGGCCAGGUCCCUGCCCCCCCCCCCCCCCAUGGGCUGCGGGAGCUUGGGCCUUUGGAGGUGGGGUGGGGAUGGGGACAACGGGUCAUCGCGGGGAAGGGGAGCCAGGGCCGGGUGUGAGGGGGCGUCCGCCCUGGCCCUCACUCAUGUUUCUGACCACGAGGCUUCCUCCCCCGCGCCCCUCUGGGGAGGGACUGUAAUUAACUUCUUCCUGUUCAGAUCAGGAGUCUGUUUCCAAAAACAUAUUUCGAAGGAUUAUUUUGCAAA